CAGGGAGACAAAAUAAGAUCAUGAUGUCUGAAUAUUUUAUUUUUAGACCUUGGUCCUGUCACCUUAGGUCGAUCGGUACCUCAAAUUGAGAUUCAAAUUAAUUUGAAUCUCAAUCUCAGUUCCUAAACUUGUCUAGGUCACACCCAACAUGGGUACUCCUGGGCCAUUAGCUCAGGUGGUUAGAGCGCACCCCUGAUAAGGGUGAGGUCCCUGGUUCAAGUCCAGGAUGGCCCAUUCGAUGUUGGGGGUAUAGCUCAGUUGGUAGAGCGCCUGCUUUGCAAGCAGGAUGUCAGCGGUUCGAGUCCGCUUACCUCCACUGAUCGACCUCCUGACAUCAAGUGUCUAGGAGAUUUUAAUUUUGGUUGUGAUUUAGGCUAAGUUCUAAGUUGAUGAACCUAGCUUCUUGUCAUCACUAAUUCUAAAUAGUUUUGGAUUUAGUUGAUAAGACGCUGGGCUCACUGCAAAUCAAAUUUGCAGCGACGUUCAGUAGAACCUUGAAAACUGCAUAGGUGAGUCUGGAAAGAAUAAAAAAGCAUCUCAUGGAUGCAUUAUUCUUUUAGCAGAUUCUUUGGUUUUGAAUAUUCAGAGUCAUUGAUGAUGCCAUUAGGAUAAUGUGAAAUUCUUGAGCAAGAGCCGAGACUUUGUUAAUGUUCUUUUGUCGAAAAAACUCGAUAAAAGUAUGUUUUUACAUACUUAAUCCAUUAAUAAAAGUGGAGAAGUCCAAUUUUAUUUUGGUUGAGCAUGUAAGAACAACUUAAGUGCUAUGCAUAACAUUAAUAGGGUAUUAAU
This 789-nucleotide transfer RNA is filed under the name uncultured cyanobacterium. RNAcentral describes it as "partial miscellaneous RNA". The stretch from base 244 to 316 matches the Rfam family "tRNA". The record is from RNAcentral. Lineage: Bacteria; Bacillati; Cyanobacteriota.